This is a long non-coding RNA of Gorilla gorilla gorilla (western lowland gorilla), 689 nucleotides long. RefSeq lists it as uncharacterized. The record is from RefSeq and is a predicted model, not a curated record. The transcript is spliced from 5 exons. NCBI's taxonomy places the organism in Eukaryota, Metazoa, Chordata, Mammalia, Primates, Hominidae.
AGUUCCUUAACUUGGUCACGAUUAUCAAUAAAUAGAGGAACUUGUUAUCAUGACAUGUCCUGGAAAUGUUCCCGAGAUGGAUGUUUCUAGUCUGCAAAGUGAACAAUGAAGAUUAUGGAGAACUACUCCACCAUCAUCUGAUGUGGUUCUGAUGGCUGUGUGUUUCUCAGCUUUAUCCUCAGCCUGUGGGUAAUUUAAAAUAAAUACUUUCGCAAGUGCACCAACAGAAAUAUUUCACUGUCAUUGAGCAGAAAGCUAAAAACCUAAUUACGUUGGAACUAGGAAGAGGAAGUAAGUAUGGUUGGAAGAGGUGGGAGUCUGGUGCUGCUGGAGCAGAAAGCACAAAGAAGAACGUGCUUUUAUGUGGGUGCCCUAAGAGACAUGAUAAGUGAAAAAGGCCAAGAUGCCCCAAAUUGCAAAAGUAAUGAAAAAGACCCAGUGAUAAUAAUGCGAUUGGAAAGGAAGACACUGAUUUCUCACAUGACUGUGGCAAACUGUGAAGAGUGAAAAUUCCAGAAGACUUAAAUUGUCUAUAGUUUUGGCAUCUCUCCCUCAAUGUACUUGCUAUCUUUUUUUUUUCUUUUAAGUCUGCUAAGUUACAACUGCAGACCACAGUAAAAUUAUAGAUUUGGAGAUGUUGGAAUGUUUCCUCAAAGAUAAAAGCCAAUUAAAAAAAUUUUAACAAAGAA